CAUAGGUUAAUGAGGCGAACCGGGGGAACUGAAACAUCUAAGUACCCCGAGGAAAAGAAAUCAACCGAGAUUCCCCCAGUAGCGGCGAGCGAACGGGGAGCAGCCCAGAGCCUGAAUCAGUGUGUGUGUUAGUGGAAGCGUCUGGAAAGGCGCGCGAUACAGGGUGACAGCCCCGUACACAAAAAUGCACAUGCUGUGAGCUCGAUGAGUAGGGCGGGACACGUGGUAUCCUGUCUGAAUAUGGGGGGACCAUCCUCCAAGGCUAAAUACUCCUGACUGACCGAUAGUGAACCAGUACCGUGAGGGAAAGGCGAAAAGAACCCCGGCGAGGGGAGUGAAAAAGAACCUGAAACCGUGUACGUACAAGCAGUGGGAGCACGCUUAGGCGUGUGACUGCGUACCUUUUGUAUAAUGGGUCAGCGACUUAUAUUCUGUAGCAAGGUUAACCGAAUAGGGGAGCCGAAGGGAAACCGAGUCUUAACUGGGCGUUAAGUUGCAGGGUAUAGACCCGAAACCCGGUGAUCUAGCCAUGGGCAGGUUGAAGGUUGGGUAACACUAACUGGAGGACCGAACCGACUAAUGUUGAAAAAUUAGCGGAUGACUUGUGGCUGGGGGUGAAAGGCCAAUCAAACCGGGAGAUAGCUGGUUCUCC
This 652-nucleotide ribosomal RNA is filed under the name Escherichia coli. RNAcentral's name for it is "partial 23S ribosomal RNA". It matches the Rfam family "Bacterial large subunit ribosomal RNA", at positions 165 to 858 of the family's 2925-position model. Lineage: Bacteria; Pseudomonadati; Pseudomonadota; Gammaproteobacteria; Enterobacterales; Enterobacteriaceae. The record is from RNAcentral.